GACGAACGCUGGCGGCGUGCUUAACACAUGCAAGUCUACGAGAACGAGGUAGCAAUAUCUUUAUUAAAGUGGCGCACGGGUGAGUAACACGUAAGUAACCUACCUUUAGAUUUGGAAUAACUCCGAGAAAUCGGGGCUAAUACCGAAUGAUGCAGCGGCACCACAUGGUGAUGUUGUUAAAGUCUAUACGGCGUCUAAAGAUGGGCUUGCGUCUGAUUAGCUAGUUGGUGAGGUAACGGCUCACCAAGGCAACGAUCAGUAGCUGGUCUGAGAGGAUGAUCAGCCACACUGGAACUGAGACACGGUCCAGACUCCUACGGGUGGCAG
Molecule: ribosomal RNA, 327 nt
Filed under: uncultured Chlorobiota bacterium
Lineage: Bacteria; Pseudomonadati; Chlorobiota
Description: bacterial SSU rRNA
Rfam family: Bacterial small subunit ribosomal RNA
Source: RNAcentral